GCCCUUGUAGCUCAGUGGUUAGAUCGUCGUGCUUAUACUAUAAUUGUCCAAUCUGGAUGAUUAUGUUGGUAUCACGAAUGUCCGAGGUUCGACCCCUCGCUGGGGCA
Talaromyces stipitatus ATCC 10500 is the source of this 107-nucleotide transfer RNA. It matches the Rfam family "tRNA". Rfam says of the family: Transfer RNA (tRNA) molecules are approximately 80 nucleotides in length. Their secondary structure includes four short double-helical elements and three loops (D, anti-codon, and T loops). NCBI's taxonomy places the organism in Eukaryota, Fungi, Ascomycota, Eurotiomycetes, Eurotiales, Trichocomaceae. The record is from Rfam.